Pelobates cultripes (western spadefoot toad) is the source of this 363-nucleotide non-coding RNA. NCBI's taxonomy places the organism in Eukaryota, Metazoa, Chordata, Amphibia, Anura, Pelobatidae. The record is from the annotation of a GenBank genome assembly.
AAAGUAAAAAAAACUAAAUUGAACGCUAAUUUUGGCCAGUGUUUGUGACCAAGUGGUUACUAAAAAAGACUGGACAUAUCCCAUUUGCAAUACCUUGGGUUGUCUUCUUUUGCAAAUGGUAUGCCAUCAUGGGGGUAAUUCUCAUUCCUGGGCUACCAUACGCUCUCAAAGGCAACGUAGCCAACCUGGCCAUUUUCAAUGUAAAAAUAUUUGACCCAUAUAUUUGACCUUGUAACUUUCAAAAAUGCUAUAAAACCUGUACAUGGGGGGUACUGUUUUACUCGGGAGACAUCGCUGAACACAAAUAUUAGUGUUUAAAAACUGGAAAACGUAUCACAACAAUUAUAUCAUCAGUAAAAGUGC